UACGUAGGGUGCGAGCGUUAAUCGGAAUUACUGGGCGUAAAGCGUGCGCAGGCGGUUUUGUAAGCCAGAUGUGAAAUCCCCGGGCUUAACCUGGGAAUGGCAUUUGGGACUGCAAGGCUGGAGUUUGGCAGAGGAGACUGGAAUUCCCGGUGUAGCAGUGAAAUGCGUAGAUAUCGGGAGGAAUACCGAUGGCGAAGGCGGGCUUCUGGCUAAUGACUGACGCUGAGGUGCGAAAGCUAGGGGAGCGAACGGG
Molecule: ribosomal RNA, 253 nt
Filed under: uncultured bacterium
Lineage: Bacteria
Description: partial 16S ribosomal RNA
Rfam family: Bacterial small subunit ribosomal RNA
Source: RNAcentral